GAUGAACGCUGACAGAAUGCUUAACACAUGCAAGUCGAUGGGGAAGUGGUGCUUGCACCAUGGCAACCAUGGCGGACGGGUGAGUAACGCGUAAGGGACUUACCUGCAGGACUGGGAUGACAGGGGGAAACUCCUGACAAGACCGGAUAAUGUCAUGGAGCUGCAUGGCUUUAUGAUGAAAGGAGACGCCUGCGGAGAGCCUUGCGUCCUAUUAGCUAGUUGGUGAGGUAAUGGCUCACCAAGGCGAAGAUAGGUAGCCGGCCUGAGAGGGUGGACGGCCACAAGGGGACUGAGAUACGGCCCUUACUCCUACGGGAGGCAGCAGUGGGGAAUAUUGGACAAUGGGGGCAACCCUGAUCCAGCAAUUCUGUGUGCACGAAGAAGGUUUUCGGAUUGUAAAGUGCUUUCAGCAGGGAAGAAGUAAGUGACGGUACCUGCAGAAGAAGCGACGGCUAAAUACGUG
RNAcentral lists this ribosomal RNA (463 nucleotides) under uncultured bacterium. RNAcentral describes it as "partial 16S ribosomal RNA". It matches the Rfam family "Bacterial small subunit ribosomal RNA", at positions 28 to 507 of the family's 1533-position model. The record is from RNAcentral.